GCCCGCGUAGCUCAGUCGGUAGAGCGCGUUCUUGGUAAGAACGAGGUCUCCAGUUCAAAUCUGGACGCGGGCUCCA
RNAcentral lists this transfer RNA (76 nucleotides) under uncultured marine group II/III euryarchaeote AD1000_66_E09. RNAcentral describes it as "tRNA-Thr". Lineage: Archaea; Methanobacteriati; Methanobacteriota. The record is from RNAcentral.